UACGUAGGUGGCAAGCGUUGUCCGGAUUUACUGGGCGUAAAGAGCGCGCAGGCGGUCGUUCAAGUCGCGUGUGAAAGCCCCCGGCUCAACUGGGGAGGGUCACGCGAUACUGAUCGACUGGAAGGCAGGAGAGGUAAGUGGAAUUCCGAGUGUAGAGGUGAAAUUCGUAGAUAUUCGGAAGAACACCAGUGGCGAAGGCGACUUACUGGACACAUAUUGACGCUGAGGUGCGAAAGCGUGGGGAGCAAACAGG
Molecule: ribosomal RNA, 253 nt
Filed under: uncultured bacterium
Lineage: Bacteria
Description: partial 16S ribosomal RNA
Rfam family: Bacterial small subunit ribosomal RNA
Source: RNAcentral